CCUCAUGCUCGUGGAGCGGCCGAUAUCUGAUUAGCUAGUUGGUAGGGUAAAAGCCUACCAAGGCAUCGAUCAGUAGCUGGUCUGAGAGGACGACCAGCCACACUGGAACUGAGACACGGUCCAGACUCCUACGGGAGGCAGCAGUGGGGAAUUUUGGACAAUGGGCGAAAGCCUGAUCCAGCAAAGGCGCGUGAGUGAAGAAGGCCUUCGGGUGUAAAUCUAUAGGUUAGGGAAGAAACGGUGAGGGCUAAUAUC
This 255-nucleotide ribosomal RNA is filed under the name uncultured bacterium. RNAcentral describes it as "partial 16S ribosomal RNA". It matches the Rfam family "Bacterial small subunit ribosomal RNA", at positions 211 to 466 of the family's 1533-position model. The record is from RNAcentral.